GGGGCCGAUUUGGCUUCGACGUGGGUCGCAAAACAGGAUAGUGCAUACCGAGCACCAGUACGCUCGUAAAUCCACUGGAAAACUACAAACGCCAACGACGAGCGUUUCGCUCUGGCCGCUUAAGCGGUGAGCCGCUGCACCGACUUGUCCCUGGGUCGGGUGGGGUCAAACCCACAGCAGCGUCAUUCACAGGGAAUCGGGCUCGACCAGGUCGCUGGGUCGGGUCUUAAAUCAGUGCGAAUCGCCGAGGAAGGGCCUGUCGUCCGGCAUGAUCCAAGGUUAAAACUCAAAAUAGGCCGACUAAGUAUGUAGAGCUACUUGCGGAGGGCUUGCGGACGGGGGUUCAAUUCCCCCCGGCUCCACCA
Non-coding RNA from Castellaniella defragrans 65Phen, 365 nucleotides. It matches the Rfam family "transfer-messenger RNA". Rfam says of the family: Bacterial tmRNA, also known as 10Sa RNA or SsrA, is named for its dual tRNA and mRNA-like properties. Its role is to liberate the mRNA from a stalled ribosome. To accomplish this part of the tmRNA is used as a reading frame that ends in a translation stop signal. The record is from Rfam. Lineage: Bacteria; Pseudomonadati; Pseudomonadota; Betaproteobacteria; Burkholderiales; Alcaligenaceae.